GCGAACCUCUCAACCGCCUUGCGCGGAUUGGACCGUGGCCGUCUGUUGGCGAGAGCCGACUCGGCCAAAAUGGACGCGGAGCGCGACCGUGCAGCCGCGACGACCGAGCGUUGUAGACCCCUCGCUUGGUGGCGCGGAGCGCGGACUCCCCGGAUUCUCAACUCGACCUCAAAUCAGGCAAGAUUACCCGCUGAACUUAA
RNAcentral lists this unclassified non-coding RNA (200 nucleotides) under soil metagenome. Its description in RNAcentral is "partial contains internal transcribed spacer 2 and large subunit ribosomal RNA". The record is from RNAcentral.